RNAcentral lists this ribosomal RNA (845 nucleotides) under uncultured Staphylococcus sp. RNAcentral describes it as "bacterial SSU rRNA". It matches the Rfam family "Bacterial small subunit ribosomal RNA", at positions 69 to 896 of the family's 1533-position model. Lineage: Bacteria; Bacillati; Bacillota; Bacilli; Caryophanales; Staphylococcaceae. The record is from RNAcentral.
ACGGAUGAGAAGCUUGCUUCUCUGAUGUUAGCGGCGGACGGGUGAGUAACACGUGGAUAACCUACCUAUAAGACUGGGAUAACUUCGGGAAACCGGAGCUAAUACCGGAUAAUAUUUUGAACCGCAUGGUUCAAAAGUGAAAGACGGUCUUGCUGUCACUUAUAGAUGGAUCCGCGCUGCAUUAGCUAGUUGGUAAGGUAACGGCUUACCAAGGCAACGAUGCAUAGCCGACCUGAGAGGGUGAUCGGCCACACUGGAACUGAGACACGGUCCAGACUCCUACGGGAGGCAGCAGUAGGGAAUCUUCCGCAAUGGGCGAAAGCCUGACGGAGCAACGCCGCGUGAGUGAUGAGGGUCUUCGGAUCGUAAAACUCUGUUAUUAGGGAAGAACAUAUGUGUAAGUAACUGUGCACAUCUUGACGGUACCUAAUCAGAAAGCCACGGCUAACUACGUGCCAGCAGCCGCGGUAAUACGUAGGUGGCAAGCGUUAUCCGGAAUUAUUGGGCGUAAAGCGCGCGUAGGCGGUUUUUUAAGUCUGAUGUGAAAGCCCACGGCUCAACCGUGGAGGGUCAUUGGAAACUGGAAAACUUGAGUGCAGAAGAGGAAAGUGGAAUUCCAUGUGUAGCGGUGAAAUGCGCAGAGAUAUGGAGGAACACCAGUGGCGAAGGCGACUUUCUGGUCUGUAACUGACGCUGAUGUGCGAAAGCGUGGGGAUCAAACAGGAUUAGAUACCCUGGUAGUCCACGCCGUAAACGAUGAGUGCUAAGUGUUAGGGGGUUUCCGCCCCUUAGUGCUGCAGCUAACGCAUUAAGCACUCCGCCUGGGGAGUACGACCGCAAGGUUG